RNAcentral lists this ribosomal RNA (258 nucleotides) under uncultured bacterium. RNAcentral describes it as "partial 16S ribosomal RNA". It matches the Rfam family "Bacterial small subunit ribosomal RNA", at positions 524 to 776 of the family's 1533-position model. The record is from RNAcentral.
UACGAAGGGGGCUAGCGUUGCUCGGAAUCACUUGGGCGUAAAGGGUGCGUAGGGCGGGUCUUUUAAGUCAGGGGUGAAAUCCUGGAGCUCAACUCCAGAACUGCCUUUGAUACUGAGGAUCUUGGAGUUCGGGAGAGGUGAGUGGAACUGCGAGUGUAGAGGUGAAAUUCGUAGAUAUUCGCAAGAACAUCAGUGGCGAAGGCGGCCUGCUGGGCUGUUGCUGACGCUGAGGCGCGACAGCGUGGGGAGGCAAACAGG